This 468-nucleotide ribosomal RNA is filed under the name uncultured bacterium. RNAcentral describes it as "partial 16S ribosomal RNA". It matches the Rfam family "Bacterial small subunit ribosomal RNA", at positions 28 to 507 of the family's 1533-position model. The record is from RNAcentral.
GACGAACGCUGGCGGCGUGCUUAACACAUGCAAGUCGAACGGAAAGGCCCUGCUUUUGUGGGGUGCUCGAGUGGCGAACGGGUGAGUAACACGUGAGUAACCUGCCCUUGACUUUGGGAUAACUUCAGGAAACUGGUGCUAAUACCGGAUAGGAGCUCCUGCUGCAUGGUGGGGGUUGGAAAGUUUCGGCGGUUUGGGAUGGACUCGCGGCUUAUCAGCUUGUUGGUGGGGUAGUGGCUUACCAAGGCUUUGACGGGUAGCCCGCCUGAGAGGGUAACCGGCCACAUUGGGACUGAGGUACGGCCCAGACUCGUACGGGAGGCAGCAGUGGGGAAUAUUGCACAGUGGGCGCAAGCCUGAUGCAGCAACGCCGCGUGCGUGAUGACGGCCUACGGGUGGUAAACCGCUUUCGCCUGUGACGAAGCGUGAUUGACGGUAAUGAGUAAAGAAGCACCGGCUAACUACGUG